This is a long non-coding RNA of Hibiscus syriacus, 352 nucleotides long. RefSeq lists it as uncharacterized. Lineage: Eukaryota; Viridiplantae; Streptophyta; Magnoliopsida; Malvales; Malvaceae. The transcript has 3 exons. The record is from RefSeq and is a predicted model, not a curated record.
CCAUGGAAAAGUGGGAUGUUUAUUAACAUGGUGAUGAGAUGUUCACCAUUUUACCAUUUUCAGCGUGCAAGAGACAUAUAUCUCAAAGAUUAGGACCUGCAGAGGAAAAGAUUACCCAGCAGCAGCAAUGCUAAUAAAAUCAGAGAGUUUAUAAAGAACGCAUAUGUGGACAGAAAAUAUGUCAGACGAGAAACAUCUGACAAGCUUCCUAUAGACAUGCAGAGCCCUAGUAAUCAUGGAGAUACUAUAAGGCGUCCAAGUUCUUAUCACUCGUAUUCUGAAAGUCCACCUUAUGACUAUCAAUAUGAAAAUCGGCGUUACGGAAAACAAGUUGCUGCCAUGUUUCCUAGGA